AGCAAAAAUUGGGCUAAGUAUUUGAUUUAAUUAAAUUCUGCGCCGGACUUGUAAUCAGGGGGUGGCGGGUUCAAGUCCUGCAGCCAGCACCA
This 92-nucleotide transfer RNA is filed under the name Herbaspirillum sp. SJZ102. RNAcentral describes it as "tRNA-Thr". The record is from RNAcentral. Lineage: Bacteria; Pseudomonadati; Pseudomonadota; Betaproteobacteria; Burkholderiales; Oxalobacteraceae.